UACAGAGGGGGCAAGCGUUAUUCGGAAUUAUUGGGCGUAAAGGGCGCGUAGGCGGCUUUUCAAGUGACGGGUGAAAUCCCUCGGCUUAACCGAGGAACUGCCUGUCAGACUGGAAGGCUUGAGACCGGGAGAGGUGAGUGGAAUUCCCAGUGUAGCGGUGAAAUGCGUAGAUAUUGGGAGGAACACCAGUGGCGAAGGCGGCUCACUGGACCGGAACUGACGCUGAGGCACGAAAGCGUGGGGAGCAAACAGG
This 253-nucleotide ribosomal RNA is filed under the name uncultured bacterium. RNAcentral's name for it is "partial 16S ribosomal RNA". It matches the Rfam family "Bacterial small subunit ribosomal RNA", at positions 524 to 776 of the family's 1533-position model. The record is from RNAcentral.